Molecule: long non-coding RNA, 230 nt
Filed under: Glycine max (soybean)
Lineage: Eukaryota; Viridiplantae; Streptophyta; Magnoliopsida; Fabales; Fabaceae
Description: long non-coding RNA (GMAX_LNC000171)
Source: RNAcentral
AAAAAGACACACAGUUUAACGUGGUUCAGCACACAAUGUAUGUGCCUACGUCCACGGCUACACUAGGAGAACUUUUUAUUACUUGCACAUAAAGGCUUACAAGGUGUCUCUAUAUAUAACACUAAUGAGACACAAGUUUUUACAAACCAAGCGAUGUGGGACUAAGACCACACAAGUUUUACAGACUAAGCGAUGUGGGACAAAGGAACUAAGACCACAAACUCUAACAC